AAAGUCGUAACAAGGUUUCCGUAGGUGAACCUGCGGAAGGAUCAUUAAAGAGAAAGGAGCUUGCUCCUAGGGUUUCGGCCCCACUCUUCACCCUAUGUUUAUACAUCUCUGUUGCUUUGGCGAGCCCUGCUCAGGCAUGUCGAUUCGUCGGCAAGUGCUCGCCAAAGGAUUUUCAACUCUUCAUUACUUCUGUCUGACAAUAAACAAAUAAAAUAAAACUUUCAACAACGGAUCUCUUGGUUCUG
RNAcentral lists this unclassified non-coding RNA (245 nucleotides) under Ascomycota sp. RNAcentral describes it as "partial contains small subunit ribosomal RNA, internal transcribed spacer 1, and 5.8S ribosomal RNA". The stretch from base 1 to 47 matches the Rfam family "Eukaryotic small subunit ribosomal RNA", at positions 1785 to 1831 of the family's 1831-position model. The record is from RNAcentral. Lineage: Eukaryota; Fungi; Ascomycota.